CUGUUUCCAGAGAUUUCUCCUGAGCCUGAACUUUUCUCUGAAGCCUUUUAGGAACUAGGGGACCAACUAUACACUUGAUCAGAAGAAAGAUGCUAGGUUUGCCAGCUACAAGCGCUGUGACCUUUAGCUAGCGACUGAGCCAGCCCCCGUAUGGGUCUCCUCAUCUGUAAAUGGGGUGUUGUGAGGAAUAAGCAGCUUAGGAAGUACCAAGAUCGGCCCCUGGCCCUGUGUGCUCGCCACAUAGAUGAGGUCUCGCUAGUUGCCAAGGCUGGUCUCAAACUCCUGAACUCAAGCGAUCCUCCUGCUUUGGCCUCCCAAAAUGCUGGGAUUACAGCAGACCGAUCCAUGAGCAGCUCCCUCUCAGCCUCUCAGCUCCACACGGUCAACAUGCGGGACCCUCUGAACCGAGUCCUGGUCCCACCUUCUCCCAGAGUGUGACCUCACCCUCUCUCAUGGAACUCCCUCCUGUCACUCUCCCCCCACUCUCUACAGCCAACCUGUUCCUGCUCAUCUCCUCCAUCCUGGGGUCUCGCACCGCUGGCCCCCACACCCAGUUCGUGCAGUGGUUCAUGGAGGAGUGUGUGGACUGCCUGGAGCAGGGCGGCCGUGGCAGCGUCCUGCAGUUCAUGCCCUUCACCACCGUGUCGGAACUGGU
Molecule: small RNA, 655 nt
Filed under: Pan troglodytes (chimpanzee)
Lineage: Eukaryota; Metazoa; Chordata; Mammalia; Primates; Hominidae
Description: processed transcript
Source: RNAcentral